Mastomys coucha (southern multimammate mouse) is the source of this 1514-nucleotide long non-coding RNA. RefSeq lists it as uncharacterized. The record is from RefSeq and is a predicted model, not a curated record. Lineage: Eukaryota; Metazoa; Chordata; Mammalia; Rodentia; Muridae. The transcript is spliced from 3 exons.
GCCCGCCUUAACCCCUACGACGCCAUUGUAGUGGCAAGCAGGGAGAGCCGGUCCAGGUGUACUGCCUCACCGGACAGCCCUUCCCGCUUUCCUAGUCCGGUGAUCCUUGAGAGGAAGUCCAGCCCUGCUGUAACCGCUGAGAAGGGCAAAGCACCAGAAUUGACCUGGAGUCGGCAAGUGGACACCUUUAGGAGAGGAGGAUCCUGCACAUUGUCAAUUCUGAGUUAAAGCUUUCACGGAUCUAGAAGGCACUGUGCAAGCUUCCAAAGGAAGGAAGCAACCAACAGUCAGUCCUACCCAGCUGUGAUGCCCAUGAAGCACAGCAGUGACCAACAGUCAGUCCUACCCAGCCGUGAUGCCCGUGAAGCACAACAAUGACCAACAGUCAGUCCUACCCAGCCGUGAUGCCCAAGAAGCACAACAAUGACCAACAGUCAGUCCUACCCAGCCGUGAUGCCCAUGAAGCACAGCAAUGACCAACAGUCAGUCCUACCCAGCCGUGAUGCCCAUGAAGCACAGCAAUGACCAACAGUCAGUCCUACCCAGCCGUGAUGCCCUUGAAGCACAGCAAUGACCAACAGCACCCACUAAGGGUGCAGAGCUCUGAUGUAUGGUCACUGUCUUCUGAUGUUCCUUCUGACCUAAGUGUGGGCAGCCCUUGGAACUCCCCAGAAACCCAGUGAGAAGUAGAGAAUCAGCCCUUGCCCUCUGAAGAGAUAUAGGUGGGAUGAACAUAGGGAACCCUAACUCAGAGGUCAAAGGGACUGUCCUGGCAGUCUCAGAGGUGACCAUGUGUUGGAAUCACAGACUACAGACACUUGAGCUCACUUGAGGGAUUUUUGAUCUCCUCCAGUCUACCAUGGAGUCCUGCUCUGAGAUGGAGUAGACCACAGUAAGGCCCAGAACCCCUCAGCUUCAGAUCCAGAAAUUUGUGCCUGCCUUCAUUAUCACCACAACCCUAAAGAGGGGCCCAAGCCUUGAAGACUUCACCUAGAAGUACCUAGGGCUCCAGAGCCAGUAGGCAGUCAUCUACCCAUGAUUCCAUUGAAGACCAGAACUGCAUCCAGCCAUCUUCAGACCUCCAGCGAGUCCUUGCAAUGUGUCUUAUGUGCUGAUGUACUGUGUGUCUCAACACAUGCCACUGUGACCAGCUGGCUGGUCAGAACUGGACCAACCUGUGGUGUUUGGGUAGCCAGGAUUCCCAGAGGACACCAAAGUUUGCUAUAGUAACCAGGCACAGGAGCAUGAGGCAGGGUCUGCCUACCAGGAUUCCUUUAAUCCCAGCCUGGGGCUGAUUCUCACAUUUGUCCUGUCUCAGUCUAAUGAGUUUCCUUAGUUUUCCCAAUCCUAAGAGGACUAAGUGUGAAAACUUCCUGUGACUGACUCAGUCUACCUGAUCCAUCUUGUCAAUAAUGGUGGCCCCAGGAAAGACCUAGAAUUGGCCAGAUGUCUAGGAGAAACCUAGUGUCCUUGGAUAGAGUCAUCAGACAAAAUACAAGAAUUUCAAAUCACAA